CCCUAUCAGACGAUCCAAAAGAACCAGAGAAUGCACAAAGACACCAGAAGAAGAUGCACAACAGUUUUUGUUGAAAGACAGGGAAGGGUUGAAAUCAGUGCUGAUCAACAAAGAGAAAGGAAGAGGUGUCAUUGCUACGACCAGCUUCCAUAAGGGUGACUGUCUGCUCCGGUAUGUAGGAGAAUUGAUUGAUAAUGCAACUGCCGUCGCACGAACAGUCAAUAUUCAGCGGAACAUGGCUCUUUCAUGUAUGAUUUUAUUCACGAUGGAAAG
This is a long non-coding RNA of Patiria miniata (bat star), 273 nucleotides long. RefSeq lists it as uncharacterized. Lineage: Eukaryota; Metazoa; Echinodermata; Asteroidea; Valvatida; Asterinidae. The transcript is spliced from 3 exons. The record is from RefSeq and is a predicted model, not a curated record.